This 500-nucleotide ribosomal RNA is filed under the name uncultured bacterium. Its description in RNAcentral is "partial 16S ribosomal RNA". It matches the Rfam family "Bacterial small subunit ribosomal RNA", at positions 30 to 523 of the family's 1533-position model. The record is from RNAcentral.
AUUGAACGCUGGCGGCAGGCCUAACACAUGCAAGUCGAGCGGAUGAGGGGAGCUUGCUUCCUGAUUCAGCGGCGGACGGGUGAGUAAUGCCUAGGAAUCUGCCCGAUAGUGGGGGACAACGUUUCGAAAGGAACGCUAAUACCGCAUACGUCCUACGAGAGAAAGUGGGGGAUCUUCGGACCUCACGCUAUCGGAUGAGCCUAGGUCGGAUUAGCUAGUUGGUGGGGUAAAGGCUCACCAAGGCGACGAUCCGUAACUGGUCUGAGAGGAUGAUCAGUCACACUGGAACUGAGACACGGUCCAGACUCCUACGGGAGGCAGCAGUGGGGAAUAUUGGACAAUGGGCGAAAGCCUGAUCCAGCCAUGCCGCGUGUGUGAAGAAGGUCUUCGGAUUGUAAAGCACUUUAAGUUGGGAGGAAGGGCAGUCAGUUAAUACCUUGCUGUCUUGACGUUACCAACAGAAUAAGCACCGGCUAACUUCGUGCCAGCAGCCGCGGUAA